Molecule: ribosomal RNA, 485 nt
Filed under: Alphaproteobacteria bacterium
Lineage: Bacteria; Pseudomonadati; Pseudomonadota; Alphaproteobacteria
Description: bacterial SSU rRNA
Rfam family: Bacterial small subunit ribosomal RNA
Source: RNAcentral
CCGCGUGAAUGAUGAAGGCCCUAGGGUUGUAAAGUUCUUUCAACGGUGAAGAUGAUGACGGUAGCCGUAGAAGAAGCCCCGGCUAACUCCGUGCCAGCAGCCGCGGUAAUACGGAGGGGGCGAGCGUUGUUCGGAAUUACUGGGCGUAAAGGGCGUGUAGGCGGACUGUUAAGUUAGGGGUGAAAUCCCAGGGCUCAACCCUGGAACUGCCUCUAAUACUGGCGGUCUUGAGAUUUGGAGAGGUGUGUGGAAUUCCUAGUGUAGAGGUGAAAUUCGUAGAUAUUAGGAAGAACACCAGUGGCGAAGGCGGCACACUGGCCAACAUCUGACGCUGAGGCGCGAAAGCGUGGGGAGCAAACAGGAUUAGAUACCCUGGUAGUCCACGCCGUAAACGAUGUGUGCUAGCCGUCGGGCAGUUUACUGUUCGGUGGCGCAAGUUAACGCGUUAAGCACACCGCCUGGGGAGUACGGUCGCAAGAUUAAAA